UAUGUUUGAACAUUUUGUUUUGAUGGAAGGGCAUGUCACCUGGAACAUCUUCUCGCUGCCUUCUCUUCCUGCAAAAUAAUUCUAGUACUUCGUGUUGACCUAACACAACACAACAUCAGCGGCAAAGGCCCUGACCCCUGAGUAGUCUAGCAUCUAUAUCUCCCCCUUCUACUUUUGAAACCAGAAAAAAUGAAACAACUCGUCAGUACGUGAAGAAUGAGAGAAAAAAAGUCAAAAGAACUUAAGCAUCCUGCAACUACUUUUGCAAUUUAUACUAAUCCCUUUUGCUCAAUGCUUGAAAUGCCGUACAAUAUUAAGAAAUAGAAAGGAAAGUGGUGAGAGCUUUUGAUUGAACUUUCGAUGCUUUGUCUUUUGAAAUUAUAUGAACUGAUUAGUUCUUUGUUUAGAAAAAUCUAAAUACAAUGUUCCUAAUCUGCAACAGAAUAUUUUUUUAGGGGCAAGUGAAAACAAUGAGACACCGAACCCUCUCUCUAACACACACAGACCUGAUGGUAGAAUACAUAGUGAAUUGCUAAUAAUGUUUUUGAUUUUCUCGUAUAGAAAACAUAUUCUUUUCUUCUUAUGAUAUAUACAAUUGAACUAUAUAUCCGACAUGAUCGAAACUUUUCCCAUGUUUCUCUAUGGAUUGAGGAAAGAAUACAUAGUGAAAUAAAAAUUACCAGUACUAGUCUUGGGAAAACUUAGACUGAAACAGUGCUACUGAAAGAACCAUUGGAAAAUGGAAUUUACCUUCAGUCUCGACAGCGAGCCUCUCAAGAUCAUGAUCUGCAAGGAAAAAAAUGGAGCAAAAUAGGUAAAAAAAUCAUACAAAUCAGAUGAACUAUCACAUGCAAUAGAUUAUUUUCUUUCUUUCAGGAAUAAGAACAAACACCCAUGGGAGCACAAAAUGGAAGACAUCCGCAAGUAGAUGCAAAAAAUGUUUGCCAAACUAGCAAGAUGGAGCCUAAACCAACAGAAUGGUCUUGAACUAUAAUGCAUCACCCAUUUUUUGGAUCCAUUUGAACUAAAAGGGAGCUCCUUUUUUCACCUGCAGGAUGAAUUGAAAAAAGCACACAAUGUUGAUCUGAAGAACCACCAUAUGUCGAACUGAACAUACACAAGAAAAGGACCGGCAGCAGAUGUCAAUAUAUAAAUUGAUGUUUAUUGCAGGUUUUCGGGAAUGAGAUUCAUGUUUUGUAACUACAUUAAAUUUCUAAAUAUGUGUACUGCUCCAUAAGAAAUGUUAUUACUACAUAUGUCCAGACUAUUUAGCCUCUAUUUGACAAUAAAGAAACAUCAAAAGGAUGGUUGAAGUUCUUUUUAGGCAUAUAAACAUAUAACUUGAGAGCAACAGGAAUAGUACAAGUUCUCCAAUGCAAACUGAACAAGGUUUACCAAGCAUAAGAACAAAAAGGUAGAGUGCACCCAAUUUAUUCGUGCCUCUUUUUCUAAACUUUUGUGCAUGCUAGAUUUAACAAGCGAUGAUCCAAUGAUCAAAAUAUAAAUUUAAUCACACCAAUUAGUAGAGAGAGACGUAGCAGCACAAACACAGUCAAUCUUUGAGAAGACAGAUAGGCAUUCUGUACUGUUCUGUCCUACAAUGCUGCUAUGAAAAUGAAGUCUCAAUUAUAUCAUGCUACAGAUUUCUCCUACGAUGAAAAGCACAUGCAGCACCACACUAGGUUUGGUACCAGCCUGCCUCUUCUCGCGUUGCUCAGCCUAUUUUUCAUGACAAGCGAGCGCCAAUGGCGAGCGGCAAGGAGCAGAACUUAUAGGCUCAGAAACGGCAAGGAGCAACUCGCACCCCUGCCCUUUCAUCAAACAGGUGGUGGGCACCUUGACUUCUGAACUUUCAUGGUCUUUCAAGAUGAGCAAGUGCAAUUUUUCAUGGAACCAAACUUUUGAACUUUUUCCAAGACACUCUUUUUAACAUGUGGCGGUGUGCACCAGUGCCAACAAAAGCUCGCUCGUGAAGGAGCAUGGCAGGAGGUGCUUGGACGGAUAAGGGAGGAAGAGUUGUACUAGUGUGAGCCCCUUACCUGGACGGGGAUCGGAGGAAGUAGUGCGUGCAGGCGGCUAGGCCUGUGUGUAGAACUGAGCUUUUUUUGUCUUGCAGUCUGUCCAACCUCCCUCGUGCUGCAGUACAGAGAGAAACAAAUUAGCGACAGAAAAGAGCAGUAGAGAGGAAAGAGAUGUAUGUACUGCUGUUGUUCUUUUGUUGAACCGCAACUGAAUGUCAUAAUGUAGAGAAAUUGGAGAAGAG
This 2263-nucleotide long non-coding RNA is filed under the name Triticum aestivum (bread wheat). Its description in RNAcentral is "long non-coding RNA (TAES_LNC012302)". The record is from RNAcentral. Lineage: Eukaryota; Viridiplantae; Streptophyta; Magnoliopsida; Poales; Poaceae.